AUGUUGCACAGACGCAAGGCCCAGCUGAUUCAGCUUGCUUUUGAAAAGGACCUGACUCACAAGUUUACAUCUGAGUGGAAGGAUAUGUUGAUGAGGAGGUUCAGCUCGGAGAAACGCUGCCUCCCGCUGAGGACAUGCAGGGAGGGAGGGAGGACAGCGCUGAAUCCACUCAAACUGAUAUAUCAGAGCCGACUCCUGAGAGCAGACGUAUCUAAAGCUGUCAGGGAGGAACCAUGGCUACCAUCUCUGAACCGGACCCUGGACUCUCUGAGGAACCUGGGGACGCGUCUUUGGACCGGAGGGAGCGCAGGAAGAGAAGAUUUGGUAGGUGCCCUUUAGAGAGGAUUUAAAAUAAAUACUACAAUAAAAAAAAUGUAUUUUCAUCUGCAUACGUUUAAAAUGUACUUUUAGAAAAAGUUUUAAGUCAAAUAGGCCGACCUGAUGAACCAGUGACCGUAUAGACAGAUUUAUUCUCCUAAAUAAAGACAUGUGUGUGUUUGAGACAAAAAGCUUGUAUUUACCUUACUUGACGUGAGAUUACGCCCAUGAGUUACGGACUAUUGAUAGGCAUCUCAAGUAGUUGUGUGUUUCCUGUUAUAUGUCCGUUAUGUACGUGGAACAGAGUGGAGAGUAACUUUAGGGAGCAGAGCACAAGUUUAGUUUUUUCUUGACUUUUUAGUGCAGCGUGACAUUAGAGUGACAAUGGUUUAUUUAAUCAACAAUUUUGUGUUUUAAUAAUGGCUGCUCAUUUAACUGAAGCGAUAUCAGGUGAACUUAUGAAUUUAACAUAAUUCUAUAAAGUUUGUCAUU
Molecule: long non-coding RNA, 810 nt
Filed under: Gadus morhua (Atlantic cod)
Lineage: Eukaryota; Metazoa; Chordata; Actinopteri; Gadiformes; Gadidae
Description: lncRNA (ENSGMOG00000031221.1)
Source: RNAcentral